This 630-nucleotide ribosomal RNA is filed under the name Microcystis aeruginosa UPMC-A0051. RNAcentral's name for it is "bacterial SSU rRNA". It matches the Rfam family "Bacterial small subunit ribosomal RNA", at positions 120 to 784 of the family's 1533-position model. Lineage: Bacteria; Bacillati; Cyanobacteriota; Cyanophyceae; Chroococcales; Microcystaceae. The record is from RNAcentral.
AGAAUCUAACUUCAGGACGGGGACAACAGUGGGAAACGACUGCUAAUACCCGAUGUGCCGCAAGGUGAAAACUAAUUGGCCUGGAGAAGAGCUUGCGUCUGAUUAGCUAGUUGGUGGGGUAAAGGCCUACCAAGGCGACGAUCAGUAGCUGGUCUGAGAGGAUGAGCAGCCACACUGGGACUGAGACACGGCCCAGACUCCUACGGGAGGCAGCAGUGGGGAAUUUUCCGCAAUGGGCGAAAGCCUGACGGAGCAACGCCGCGUGAGGGAGGAAGGUCUUUGGAUUGUAAACCUCUUUUCUCAAGGAAGAAGUUCUGACGGUACUUGAGGAAUCAGCCUCGGCUAACUCCGUGCCAGCAGCCGCGGUAAUACGGGGGAGGCAAGCGUUAUCCGGAAUUAUUGGGCGUAAAGCGUCCGCAGGUGGUCAGCCAAGUCUGCCGUCAAAUCAGGUUGCUUAACGACCUAAAGGCGGUGGAAACUGGCAGACUAGAGAGCAGUAGGGGUAGCAGGAAUUCCCAGUGUAGCGGUGAAAUGCGUAGAGAUUGGGAAGAACAUCGGUGGCGAAAGCGUGCUACUGGGCUGUAUCUGACACUCAGGGACGAAAGCUAGGGGAGCGAAAGGGAUUAGAUA